CGCAACCAUUUAAUUUGAAAAAGGAAUGCGCCCGUUUUUCGCCGUAAAUGUUGCAGCCUAAUUUUGGAUCGAGAAUUAAGUGCGACGAAGAUGGCCGUUAAUAAUAGUUCUACUACUUUAAGAACACGGUUCAGAUUUGGAUAACGAUAAACGACUUCGAAGGCAUUCGCAGGAGACCAAAUAGAGAAAGAGAGGGAGACACAAAACCACCUGUCUCGGUGUCACACAUGAGGAGUUGAGGAGGAGAUGAAGUCAGUGAAUAUGACCUGGCCUGGGGGAGUUUCCAGAAGAAGGCCCAGAAUCGCUGGAUGCCAGGAGUGGAGAUCCUUCGUUGCUGCCCUACAUGAUAGGAGGCAUCGGGCAGUAGAUGCUGUAAUUUGAAACGGAAGGUGUCCUGCCAAUAAAUUUUCAUCCCACCUGAACUGCCUUGCCUGCCUGCACCCAGUCAUCUGUUCCUGAGCAUUUUCAUUUUCCUCUAUUUUUCAUCAUCGUUUGUUUCGGCCUGUAUGAAGUGAAUUUCACAUUGAUUGGUGGAGCUGCUAAGUUGGCAUUAAGGGCCACGCCGGGGUAUGAUCCUUUGGGUUGAACAUCAUGACUGCUAGUUGGUCGGCAAAGGUGAUGGGAUCGAUCAAUGUCACAUGGAGUAAGAUCGAUACCAAUCUGCUUUGCUACAUUUCGAACAAUCUCAUACGGAUACGGAUAUUAUUGCGACAGGAGUACUGCUCGAUGUGGUCAAGCCUAUUUGACAAAGCAUUAUGGUGUUAGUCAUGUUAUCAGAAACCGAUUUUUCAAAAUCACGGAGUUGCUUCAAUUUAGUAUCGAUAGAUAUUUCAAGAACGUGUAGAUUAGUGAGCUUUUCAUCAAGAAUUUCACGCAAUCUAUUUUCGCGCUUAUCCAUGUCAUCAUUGAGUUUUUGUCUCUCGCGUUCCAUUGCCACGGCCACCGCUCUUUGAACGACUGUAUCAAUAUGAUCUAGGUAUGCUGGGCUUUGUUUAGAUCCAGUUAAUGAUGAAGCAGAGGAUUGUGUACAUGCGUUAGCCGAGUGCAAGCGGCCUCUUGAUCUGGUGGAUAUCUUAGACAUGUUAGAGAUUACGUAAUGAUAUAAUUGAAAAGUGGGAUGGGCUGUGCAUCUGCCAACUCACCAGUCAACCAAUUAGAGACGGCCUUCCAAAGUGACACAGCACGAAAAUAUCAAUAUGGGACUGGUCUAGUCAACACAUAGAUCCUGACAAAACCAUGGAGACCGCAGACGCAAAAUGACUUCCAUACAUAAAGAUAUGAUGCACAAUUUCCAGUGGGUUCAAAACACUGAACACAUGCUAUGCUGAUACACAGACUAUCAUAUUAAAGAACUUUAUCAAGCAAAGGAAAUCUGGUAUGAAAUCUCUCAGCUCACAUAAAAAGCCUACGUAGCUACAUGUAGGGAAGAAAAUGUGUAAUUGCUGAGAAAUGAGCAAAAUAAGCAUGUAAUUCUAUCAAAUGUCAGAUAUUUUUCGAAUCGAUUAUAAUACACUGUCCCACAUAUGCUUUUCUGUGUUUACAGCGAUCAUCAGAAUUAUCGAUUUUAAGUUUAAAAAUUCAUGAUUUUACAAAGAUACAAGUUUACAUUAAUGUACCAGAUGUAGAUUAUGUACAAUAUAUUGACAAUGAACUUUGAUUUUAUAGAUUUUCUCAAGAAAUAAUUGUUUUGCAACUACUGUCUUUUCCUUCUAAGUGAUAGUGUAAUACAACAGUUCCACAAACUAUUUUCAUCAGACUUAUUGAUGCAUGAUUCUUUCACCCAAAUGCAAGCUUCCAUAAAUCCUGAAAACUUUGCAACUCAGGUAUUUUUUUUUUUUACAUACAGUAUAUUUUGUCCUACAUUGCAUAGUUGCCUUAAGUUAAUAGCGCACCUCCAGUAGUAACUAUUUUAAAAUGAGUUCGAACAGAAUCCAACAGAAUUACCAGCAAAGUGUAUGUAUAUAUAAAAGAUGUGUGCCAAAAAGCUCGGGAAGAAAAUGUGUAAUUGCUGAGAAAUGAGCAAAAUAAGCAUGUAAUUCUAUCAAAUGUCGGAUAUUUUUCAAAUCAAUCAUAAUACACUGUCCUGUCCCACAUAUGCUUUUCUGUGUUAGUGAUCAUCAGAAUUAUUGAUUUUAAGAUCAAAAUUCAUGAUUUUACAAAGAUACAAGUUUACAUUAAUUUACCAGGGCCCCGUCUUACAAAGAGUUAUGAUUGAUCCGAUCAAUCGCAACUAUGGACGGUCAGCAACGUUAACAUCUAUUAAGCAUGUUUGUUCAAAAUAUUUUCUAGCUAUGAUGUAUGUUCAUGCAUUCAUUGUUUUCUCAAAAAUUUGCUGCGCUUCUCUUUGCAUACAAAGGACAUUGUGCAAAUUUUUCGUAGAAAAAAUUAUGACACUGAUGGAUUUCCAUAGAGUUAUGAUUGAUCGGAUCAAUCGUAACUCUUUGUAAGACAGGGCCCAGAUCUAGAUUAUGUACAAUAUUUUGACAAUUAACCUUAAUUUAAGAGACUUUCUGAAGAAAUAAUUGUUUGCUGCAACUACUGUCUUUUACCCCUGGCCCUAAGUGAUAGUGUAAUACAACCCAAACAUUUCAUAAGAAUUAAUGUACAUGUAUGAUUCUUUCACCCAAAUGCGAGCUUCCAUAAAUCCUGAAACUAUUCCAACUCGGGUAUUUUUUUUUACAUACAGUAUAUUUUUACCUACAUUACAUAGUUGUCUGAAGUUGAAGGUAUAUUUAAUUACAAUUUCAACGAAAAAGCUUUAUUCUUGGAGAUCAUUAUGCCUCUGUUAUGUAUUAAUGUGUAUUUAUACAUGUACAAUUGUAUGUAUUGGUAUAACAAACAUUGUAAUUUCAUUCCUUUGACCCUAAUACUGCAUUUUCAUAGAAAAGUGUUUUUUUUUUCAAUCUAUUUAGAGUUUUCAACAUUUUGUAUUCCUUUUUUUUUUGCUGGUAAUAUGUUAUGCAACUUUUAUUUAUUAAUAGAAUAUUUGCCACGAUUUCGUAAUUGAAAUGCGUACAUGUAUUUGAUUUCGUUUUCCAUUUUUGUAUAUAUUCUUUUUCGGGGGGGGGGGGGUCAUGUUCUUGAGACCGAGACAAGUUAUGCAAGGCCCUGGCAUGGAGGAUCAUUAUAUUGUUACUGGGAAUGCUGGACAUUGUCAGACCACCUCAGUAUUCACCAAAUAUAGAUAAUCCUCAAUGACAAGGUCUUUGAAGUGAUGUGUGUAUGUACAUUGCAUGUAGAAUUUAAUGUUUAGGUCAUUAUCACGUCAGAAUACGUUAAGAUAUCAUAGUUGACUCCAAAAGACGUCAUAUUCAUUUCAAUAUGCGACGUCAAUAUGACGUCUAUUACUAGUCAGCAAUAUGUUGCAAAGUCGUCAUUCAGACGUCGUAGUUGACUUAUAAACACGUCAUAAUUACAUCAAUAUGACGUCUAAAACUGGUCAGGAAUACGUCGCAAAGUUGUCAUUAAGACGUCGUAGAUGACUUUUAAAGACGUCAUAAUUACAUCAAUAUGACGUCUAAAACCGGUCAGGAACACGUUACACGGAUGUCAUUAAGACGUCGUUGUUGACUCUCGAAGACGUCAUAAUCACGUCAAUACACGACGUCAUUCUGACCCUUGAUACUGGUCAGGAAAACGUUGUAAAAACGUUGCUAAGACGUCAUUAAGACGUCGUAGUCACUCUUGGAGACGUCAUAAUGACGUCAAUAUACGACGUCAUAAUGACGUUAUUCGCGGGUGCAAGAUCCCGUCAAUAAGACGUCAUGAUACGACGUCAAAAUGACGUGACACUCGUCGUUAAACUGACGUAAUUAUGACGUCAUUUUUACCAGUUUCUGCUAUCAGGGAAAGUUCAAAAUGGUGAAUUAAAAUUUUCGAUUAUAACCUACAAUGAAAACAAUGCUCCCCCUCCCCCGCUUCCUUCUCCGAAAAGCUAUUUGAACUCGAAUUUAAUCGAUAAUACAUUCACGAUACACCCCAAAAUCCUUAUUCAAAAGACAAUUGCGAAAUUCAAUAGUACGAAUGUAGAAGGUCAACGUGCGUGUCAUUCAAAUAGUUCCGGGUCCGGUGACACGAAAAGCUUACCAUCUCAACUUCAAUUCUGAAUGGAUAAUAGUGCGGUUGUUAGCGCAUGAAAAGGGAUCCUUGAUUGGCCAUAACCAUUUUAUAAUUGAUUAUAAAGCAUAGUGUUAAAGGGCCCUAAUGCGUCCUGAACUUCUGAAGGGCAAAGUGUGUGACCACUCGAACAAACAAUGUUUUUUUUUAAUGAUAAACGAAACAAAACCAUGUUUUCAGUUUGGGGGGGGGGGGUAGUAGGAACAUACACAAUGGCCGGAGACGGGGAUGAAUUGUGACGUCAUCCGGGCCGAUCAAAGUUCAAUGAGGACAUUGCUGGCAAUAAAGACAUUUUCUGCAAAAGCAUAUAGAGCGAUUAAAUAUAAACUGAUACCAAUGUCAUAUAUUUAAUAGACAUUAAAGCUUUAAUCGUCGAGUUAAUAUCCGUAAUAAAAAGACCCUUAUGUGUUAAGGACAUAUCAGAUUAUUAUUCUUUUACGAGUUUCUACCUAAAUAAAAAAAAAAUGAGACCGAAGCCAAUUUUUUUUUUUUAAUGUAGCAAAUUUUGAUUGGAUCGAAAUUUCGAAUAAAGCUCCUAUUCAAUAAGAAUUAUUAUUACUCUGGCCUGUAACCCCGAUACGUUUAUGCCCCGUUGGCAGGACAGUGUGGAUUUGAAGAAAAUAUUGAGAAGGAAAAUGGGGAUGCUCCAAGCACCCCCAGAGCACCCCGCUUUCCAGAGUCCCGAGUUCACAUCCAGAUUAAUCCAGAUCUAACCAGAUCUAAAGCUUACUUUGUUACGACGCACGAUAUCAUAAUAAAAUUCGCAAUGGCUGCCCAUCUCUCCUUUCUACGAGUAUGUAUAUGGUGGUAAGUUAUAUGACCCCUCCCCCCCCCCCAAAAAAAAAAAAUUGCAAAAUCAACCGAAUUGCUAUCUAGAUAAACUUUGACGAUUUUUAGAAAUAACAAUCACUCUAACACGUUUACCAAAAUUGAGUUAUAUCCUUCAAGGUGUAUCUCCCUCAUAUAUAGUUCCACACCUUGAUCGAUUCCAAUGCCGGUUCCAAUGAUGUGUACGAGAUCGUAACACCUGGCAUUUGUUUGAUAUUAACUUGCUUAUCUUAAAGUAUCUACUUGACACUGAAACCUUAAUCAACUGCAAAAUAAUGAAACACGUCAUAAUCGCUGUAAUAUCAAUGAUAUUAUGUACCUACAUCAUAAAAAAGAAGCUACUCCCAUAUUGUGCGCAGAAAAAAGCAAUCCCUAAUAACUUACCUAUAUGCUCUGAUAUAUUAUCUGAAUCCCCACCAAUAUUAUGUCCUUAAUUUCAGUUGAAAAUGAUGAAAGUGUGGAUAUGCCCAGGUAUAAUUAGUCGGACCGUCUCCUUCCAGUGCCGAAAACA
This is a long non-coding RNA of Lytechinus pictus (painted urchin), 5455 nucleotides long. RefSeq lists it as uncharacterized. Lineage: Eukaryota; Metazoa; Echinodermata; Echinoidea; Temnopleuroida; Toxopneustidae. The record is from RefSeq and is a predicted model, not a curated record. The transcript is spliced from 3 exons.